CAGUAGCCACGGUAAUACGAAGGGUGCAAGCGUUAAUCGGAAUUACUGGGCGUAAAGCGUGCGUAGGUGGUGGUUUAAGUCCGUUGUGAAAGCCCUGGGCUCAACCUGGGAAUUGCAGUGGAUACUGGGUCACUAGAGUGUGGUAGAGGAUAGUGGAAUUUCCGGUGUAGCAGUGAAAUGCGUAGAGAUCGGAAGGAACAUCUGUGGCGAAGGCGACUAUCUGGGCCAACACUGACACUGAGGCACGAAAGCGUGGGGAGCAAACAGGAUUAGAUACCCGCGUAGUCCCUGUCUCUUAUAC
Molecule: ribosomal RNA, 301 nt
Filed under: uncultured bacterium
Lineage: Bacteria
Description: partial 16S ribosomal RNA
Rfam family: Bacterial small subunit ribosomal RNA
Source: RNAcentral